This is a long non-coding RNA of Glycine soja, 1195 nucleotides long. RefSeq lists it as uncharacterized. The transcript has 2 exons. The record is from RefSeq and is a predicted model, not a curated record. Lineage: Eukaryota; Viridiplantae; Streptophyta; Magnoliopsida; Fabales; Fabaceae.
ACUACAUUAUUAGUCAUAAUGCAUGAGAGCAGAUAAGAUCGGCCCUCGCAGGAAUUAGUUAAAAUAAUCCUAUCUAUCUUCUGAAUCUGCUUCCAUUUAAGCUCUCACCCUUCCAACACUUCUCCUUGAUUCUUUCCCCUUGAUAAGAAUCCACUCUCGAUUGCUACCAUUCCAAAUUCAAGCUUCUUACGAGAGAUUCGUUCAUUGCUUCUUUUUUUUUUCCUUUCAUUUUAUACGGCAUACAGCACCAGACUUUCCUUCAUGGGCAUGGCAAUUUUUCCAUAAAAAUUCGUUUUCUAUUUCCUCUCUUUUUUUAAUUUUUUUAUUUGGGUCUUUUCGAUCACUUUGAUUGAAAGACCUUUUUCUUCUUGGUUAGUUUUUGUUAGAAAUAUUUGUUGAUGAAAUUCAAAUCCACAACCUCUCCCAGCUGUUCCUUUCAUACCUUUUUAACUACUAGAUCAAUCUUAUAUAUCCUUUGAGGAUUGCACAUUUGAUUGGCUUUACUGGUCCCAAGCACGUGAGCCUUACUCCCCUGAUAGGGUUGAUUAUAUCAAAUCUCUGGAUGCGGAGAAAGAUACAAUUUUAUUGAAGAAAGGGGUUGACAGAGGCCUCACUCCCUAUGAAAUUGGAAGCAUUAUGUCUAGGGAAAAUUUGAACAAGGAAUCUGUAAUCGACGAGAUUAUUUGUGAAGUCCAAGAAUCAUUGCUACCUGGCAUGGAGGAAUAUGUGUUUCUUGAAUCUGUCUCCCAGAUCAUGGAUUCCCGCUUGAUAAGCUUUCAAAAUAGACUCUCUGGGAUUCCUAGUUAUAUUAUAUAAUAACAAUAAUAUAUAUUUGGAUGUAUUAAGUGAAUACUAUAGUCCAUAUUUGGAUGGACUGCACAGGCUAUUUAAAGUGGGGUUAGCUAGGUGCGUUCUGGACAAUAUAGGUCUUGAAGCUCUUGCUCCUCUCUCAUUCAUACACUUCCGUGAACUGUUUUUCAGAAUUUUAUUGCCAUGUGGAACAGAAGUUAAAAGGUUCUGAUAAGAUGUGUUUUCCACUAAGAUUUUUAUGUAUUUUAGGUUUGUGUGAGGGUUAACACAGGAGUUGGAUGGAUACCUUGUGUAUAGUUGUAAUAUGUUUAGAAGCUUCAUAAGGGGCAUUUUACUCAUAAAAAUAUAUUAUUGAUGCCUGCUAUUUAUUAGGCAUUUUUACUCA